Molecule: unclassified non-coding RNA, 4014 nt
Filed under: Cotesia glomerata
Lineage: Eukaryota; Metazoa; Arthropoda; Insecta; Hymenoptera; Braconidae
Description: uncharacterized LOC123258608, transcript variant X1
Source: RNAcentral
AUUUGGAUCGGCAACUACUGACUGGAACCGGCGGAACGCGUAAGUCUUUUCUCUCUUCUUAAUUCCCCUCUCUUUAUGUUAAGUUAACGCCUAUACCACGGUACACAUAACACAACUUUAAAAAUGUAAGAUGUAGAUGUGUAAGCUUUCUGAGCUGAGGUACUAAUGCAGACUGAUAUAUAUAAUAAUAUAUAAGUUCAACUAAGACAAAUACAUAUACAAAUACCUAUAUCAACGUGACCACGAUCAUAUCAUUCCCUCUCUUCCACAUAUGCUCUACGUGUCUAUCUACUUAUUCGAGAAUCCGCGUGGGUUGUUUUACUUGUAUUGUUACUGGUUUUAUGUAUAUGUGUUUGUAUUUGUACUUUUAUUAUAGGUGUAUUGUAUUCUCGGGACGAGUGAUUAUAAAAAGUGGGAAUUAAAACUCAUGCAUUGAUGACAUACGUAUUGGUAUUGGAAUCCACAAUUCAUGGAUGAAAAAUUUUAAAUGACUGGCAUUUGGAAAUAUAUGUAUAUAGAUAAAAAUAAGUGGAAACAGACAUCUGAUUUUAAUUUUCUUAAAUGAUGAAGUAAUUAGUUUAUAGUCCUGAGGAAAAAUUUAAAUAACUUAUGAUAAACAAAUUAAGCCAGCAAACAAAUAAAUAUAAAGUAAUUAUAAUUAUAAAAUGACAACAGUAAAUAUAAUUAAAAGGAAGAAGGGGUACACGGUUCAAUGAGACACAAACGGAGUAAUAAAAUGAGCGAUGACGUAAUUAACUUAAAAUACAAGUAAAGAAACUCACCUAACACGCUUCGCGGUAUACGAGUAAGAAGAAAAAGAUUUUAAGUGGGUCACGGAAAAGCGGACAUGCAGGUAACGUAUCAAAUGUGCAUUCCUACAAUUUAAUUCGCAUGAAAUUAUGGAUAUUUUUUGUAAAAACUAUGAAGCAUAUAUUUAUAUACAAUGUCGUGACAAGAAGACUAAAUGCUGAGGCUCUGUACUCGUUAAAGUGUACACGACUAGAUGGACAGUAUAAACAAGUAGUACGUGUCUUGUUGACGUUGUGCAACCUGCAAUUUAAGACUAGAGACUCUCACUCACGCGUGAUGCUUCAAAAUACUCUAAUUUAUUCCAUGCAUCUAUCAAUUUAAUGGGAGUGGUCAUGAAUUAAAAUAGUGGUUGAGUUUCAGCACUCGAUACAAGUAUUGCAAGAGGAUGAAUGCAAUAAGGAGUGAUCGAGAGUUAUUGGUUUGCCUUGAUGUAGAUCGGAGCCGCCGAAAAGGGAUUUAUCGACGUAAUAUAAGUCCUGGAAUCGAUGACAGAGUAACAUUGUCGUUUUAUGGGAAUUGAGCGCGAGUACGUGCGACGAAAUACAUAAAACCAUCAAUCUUGCACCACUCACAUUAUCAUCUUUCUUUUUUUCGCUUUUUCCAAAUCAAGUUAACUUGAUUCUCGUUUUAUUUAAUGGGAAAAAUGAAAGCGAAUUAUUUACAAUUGGCAAUUCAUCAGUAAACUGACCUCGUAAUUUUUUAAUCUAUAAAUGGAAAAGUAUGACAAUAUUCUGAAAAUCAUACAUUUUAGUGGUUAUUCUGUAUUUAUUUUACGUAAUAUAUAUUAAGAAAUAUUUAUAAAUAUUCAAUAUUGCUACUAUUGUUUGUUUUACAUUUAAAUAUAUACACAUAUUUUUUAUUCAACUCCUUUGCAACAAAGAGGCUUGAUUAUUUACAAUAUUGAUUAUCGUUUUUGAAGAAAGAACCUUUUACAUGUGGUGAGUUGAAUGUAUUACGAGAAAUAGAGUACUCAUAGUUCCCGGCAAUCGGCGACACACUUUUUUAUGCCAAGAUGUGACAGAUUAGAGCUAUUAGCACCUGAAGUUAACACAAAAAGAAUAUAUAAUAGCUAAAACUUUUAAGUCUGAUAAAGUCUUUAGUCUCAUCAGACUUGUUUGAAAGUUAUCAAGCGAGCAAGUGAAGUUUGCACGUGGGAAGAAGAGUGUAGUAAUGAAUGAAUGAAUGAAUUUAUUUGUACUAGCAUUCACAAACGGAAAUAAAAAUUAUCACACCAGCCGUAAAUAUUAGUCUGUAUAAAGAUUUAAAUUCAAAUGUCCACAAGAUGAAGUCAUGGACUAUUUUGUUUGUCUUGACAAAAGGGCGGAGCAAAAAAAAAUCUAAAUGUAAUGGAAUAAGUGAAGUCACUGUAAUAUAUUUAUAAUGCAAUGUAAGUGAAAGCAGAGUAAAGAAGUAGUGUGCACAAUAUACAUACAAGUACGUUUUGCAAGUAAACGUCGUUUGCCUUAUACGACCGUGACACUAAAACUCACGAGUUACAUCGUCCUCGAGACAGACGCAACAAGGGAGUUUAAAAAACUUUACCGAAGGCGAAAAAAAACCCACGAGGACACAGGGACAUAAUAUUAUCAAAUGAUUCAUAUUAGUAAGAAAUAAAUUAUAUUUUAUUCACAAGAUCACAAUCGGGUUAUUCAAUUUUAUUCCAUCAAGGAUUUUGAGACGAUUUCAUUAGAUCAAUAGAUUCUUAAAUUGGUAUAUAGAAUUAUUGAGGCAGACAGCCGCAUCGUUGUGGCAUAGAUUCGGUAACUGAGCGUCUACAAAGCAAUCAAAGCCCAAAUAAAUCUACUUUUCAAAUGCAAGUGUAAUUUUAUUUGCAAAAAAAGCUCACAACACAAUUAUUACUAAAAGUUACCCAACAAACUUUUAUUGCUUUUCUGCAUGUCAGAAGCUCAUUCCUCAUGCUCCCAAUCUAUCUAUCAAGGUGAAAAGACAAAAAGUUCAUUUUUGUUUAAUCUUAAUCGAUAAUAAAUUUUGGUUGGAAUAUUCAUAAAAAGCCGCAACUGCUGCAGUGAUGCCUAAAACGAUCGAUUUAGGAGCCUCCACACGCGUUAGACUUGGCACUCGUCCAUCUGGGAUACCAAAACAUACUAAAUUGAUCAAUUGUCAUCGCCAAUUUGGGUGCCGAUGAAUCACUUCACAUUAACACCACUCUUUAAAAUCCUAGUGUUUGAGUCUCUUUAUGACUUUGGUGGUUACUUAUUGCAUUGUACUGGCGGUAAAUUACCCGGAGGCUAAAGGUAGAAUGAUGCACCAAGCACCAUGCGCGAACGCGUCGCGACGUCUAAAAGCUUCCCGCGUCGUCAGGAAGCUCAGUGGCUUUCCGUCAACGUUGUUAGGGACCUGAAAUUUCAUUUUGGGGCGAUGCAUAAUGUCCAAUGUCGUCCAUCUUGAUUUUUUUUCAACGAAAUCCAGUAUGAAUAAUUUUCAAGAACUAAAAAUUUUGAUUGGCCAAAAAUUACCAAUCACAAAUAACUUUCCCUUACUAUUUUACUAAUUUCCCUUUCCUUUCAAUUUUUAUGGCAGUUUUGACCAAUAAAAUUCUAGUAUCAGGUAUCUAAGCUCCAUGAUUUGCCAAAAGAAUAUUUUAGAGUAACUCAUUAGCAAUUAGGCUUCGCUUCUUUCCGUAUUUUCAGGUAUAAAUAGGGGUGCAAUAGUAAUUUUCAAUCAUAUUCAAAGCAAAUCUUGAGCAAUCAAGACAUUUAAAGCUUAAACAGAAAUUUGUAUCUGAAAUUAAAACUAUUUUGCUAAGAAAAUGUGUGACUCAAUUGAAAAUUCUGUUGGAGAAGUUGAGGUCAUGACAGAUCCCGAAACAUUCUGGAUCUUCACGUCUGAAAUCAAAACUUCGUUGAUGCAACAAUUUGGAUCAAGGUUUCCAAUCCUUGAAGAGAUGCUCAUCAAAUUAGAAGCAGAGCCCGAUGUUGAUAUUCUGCGGAGAAUCGCAGCAAACGCGUUGUCGGGAGAAUUAGUUAACUCGACAAAUUCUGCAAUUGACUUACUUUUCAAGUCUAUUGGACAACCACCAGAGAUCAUCAAAGAAUUGAGACAGAAAUUCAAUCGGCUGAUCGAAGGCAGGCUGUUCAUUGAUGUAAUUAAUGAUAUGGCGCUAAAGAUCGAAAGAGAAGCUGAAAUGUUAAGUUCGAUGCUUGGCAUUAAUUUGGCUGCAGAGUGUAUUUUUAAUUAAAAUUG